RNAcentral lists this ribosomal RNA (890 nucleotides) under uncultured bacterium. RNAcentral's name for it is "bacterial SSU rRNA". It matches the Rfam family "Bacterial small subunit ribosomal RNA", at positions 8 to 853 of the family's 1533-position model. The record is from RNAcentral.
AGAGUUUGAUCCUGGCUCAGGAUGAACGCCGGCGGUGUGCCUAAUACAUGCAAGUCGAACGCGUUGGCCCAACUGAUUGAACGUGCUUGCACGGACUUGACGUUGGUUUACCAGCGAGUGGCGGACGGGUGAGUAACACGUAGGUAACCUGCCCCAAAGCGGGGGAUAACAUUUGGAAACAGAUGCUAAUACCGCAUAACAAUUUGAAUCGCAUGAUUCAAAUUUAAAAGAUGGUUUCGGCUAUCACUUUGGGAUGGACCUGCGGCGCAUUAGCUUGUUGGUAGGGUAACGGCCUACCAAGGCUGUGAUGCGUAGCCGAGUUGAGAGACUGAUCGGCCACAAUGGAACUGAGACACGGUCCAUACUCCUACGGGAGGCAGCAGUAGGGAAUCUUCCACAAUGGGCGCAAGCCUGAUGGAGCAACACCGCGUGAGUGAAGAAGGGUUUCGGCUCGUAAAGCCCUGUUGUUAGAGAAGAACGUGCGUGAGAGCAACUGUUCACGCAGUGACGGUAUCUAACCAGAAAGUCACGGCUAACUACGUGCCAGCAGCCGCGGUAAUACGUAGGUGGCAAGCGUUAUCCGGAUUUAUUGGGCGUAAGGCGAGCGCAGGCGGUUUGAUAAGUCUGAUGUGAAAGCCUUUGGCUUAACCAAAGAAGUGCAUCGGAAACUGUCAGACUUGAGUGCAGAAGAGGACAGUGGAACUCCAUGUGUAGCGGUGGAAUGCGUAGAUAUAUGGAAGAACACCAGUGGCGAAGGCGGCUGUCUGGUCUGCAACUGACGCUGAGGCUCGAAAGCAUGGGUAGCGAACAGGAUUAGAUACCCUGGUAGUCCAUGCCGUAAACGAUGAGUGCUAGGUGUUGGAGGGUUUCCGCCCUUCAGUGCCGCAGCU